Molecule: ribosomal RNA, 1477 nt
Filed under: Salmonella enterica
Lineage: Bacteria; Pseudomonadati; Pseudomonadota; Gammaproteobacteria; Enterobacterales; Enterobacteriaceae
Description: bacterial SSU rRNA
Rfam family: Bacterial small subunit ribosomal RNA
Source: RNAcentral
ACGGUAACAGGAAGCAGCUUGCUGCUUUGCUGACGAGUGGCGGACGGGUGAGUAAUGUCUGGGAAACUGCCUGAUGGAGGGGGAUAACUACUGGAAACGGUGGCUAAUACCGCAUAACGUCGCAAGACCAAAGAGGGGGACCUUCGGGCCUCUUGCCAUCAGAUGUGCCCAGAUGGGAUUAGCUAGUUGGUGAGGUAACGGCUCACCAAGGCGACGAUCCCUAGCUGGUCUGAGAGGAUGACCAGCCACACUGGAACUGAGACACGGUCCAGACUCCUACGGGAGGCAGCAGUGGGGAAUAUUGCACAAUGGGCGCAAGCCUGAUGCAGCCAUGCCGCGUGUAUGAAGAAGGCCUUCGGGUUGUAAAGUACUUUCAGCGGGGAGGAAGGUGUUGUGGUUAAUAACCGCAGCAAUUGACGUUACCCGCAGAAGAAGCACCGGCUAACUCCGUGCCAGCAGCCGCGGUAAUACGGAGGGUGCAAGCGUUAAUCGGAAUUACUGGGCGUAAAGCGCACGCAGGCGGUCUGUCAAGUCGGAUGUGAAAUCCCCGGGCUCAACCUGGGAACUGCAUUCGAAACUGGCAGGCUUGAGUCUUGUAGAGGGGGGUAGAAUUCCAGGUGUAGCGGUGAAAUGCGUAGAGAUCUGGAGGAAUACCGGUGGCGAAGGCGGCCCCCUGGACAAAGACUGACGCUCAGGUGCGAAAGCGUGGGGAGCAAACAGGAUUAGAUACCCUGGUAGUCCACGCCGUAAACGAUGUCUACUUGGAGGUUGUGCCCUUGAGGCGUGGCUUCCGGAGCUAACGCGUUAAGUAGACCGCCUGGGGAGUACGGCCGCAAGGUUAAAACUCAAAUGAAUUGACGGGGGCCCGCACAAGCGGUGGAGCAUGUGGUUUAAUUCGAUGCAACGCGAAGAACCUUACCUGGUCUUGACAUCCACAGAAGAAUCCAGAGAUGGAUUUGUGCCUUCGGGAACUGUGAGACAGGUGCUGCAUGGCUGUCGUCAGCUCGUGUUGUGAAAUGUUGGGUUAAGUCCCGCAACGAGCGCAACCCUUAUCCUUUGUUGCCAGCGGUCCGGCCGGGAACUCAAAGGAGACUGCCAGUGAUAAACUGGAGGAAGGUGGGGAUGACGUCAAGUCAUCAUGGCCCUUACGACCAGGGCUACACACGUGCUACAAUGGCGCAUACAAAGAGAAGCGACCUCGCGAGAGCAAGCGGACCUCAUAAAGUGCGUCGUAGUCCGGAUUGGAGUCUGCAACUCGACUCCAUGAAGUCGGAAUCGCUAGUAAUCGUGGAUCAGAAUGCCACGGUGAAUACGUUCCCGGGCCUUGUACACACCGCCCGUCACACCAUGGGAGUGGGUUGCAAAAGAAGUAGGUAGCUUAACCUUCGGGAGGGCGCUUACCACUUUGUGAUUCAUGACUGGGGUGAAGUCGUAACAAGGUAACCGUAGGGGAACCUGCGGUUGGAUCACCUCCUUA